AAAAAUUUAAAAGUUGAACAAACUUUUUUAUUUAAUUUCUAUUUUAAACUAAUUUUUUAAUUCAACAUCGAGGUAAUAAUCUAAAAUUUUAAUUUAAUCUAUUAAUUUUAAUUAUC
This 116-nucleotide ribosomal RNA is filed under the name Phenacoccus manihoti (cassava mealybug). RNAcentral describes it as "partial 16S ribosomal RNA". The record is from RNAcentral. Lineage: Eukaryota; Metazoa; Arthropoda; Insecta; Hemiptera; Pseudococcidae.